CCUACGGGAGGCAGCAGUGGGGAAUAUUGGUCAAUGGGCGAAACCCUGAAGCAGCGACGCCGCGUGAGGGAAGAAGGAAUUCUGUAUGUUAAGCUCUAUCAGCAGGGGAGUAAAGGGCGGUACCUGAGUAGGAAGCCACGUCUCACUACGUGACAGCAGCCGCAGUAAUACGUAGGGUGCAAGCGUUAUACGGAUUUACUGGGUGUUAAGGGAGCGUAGACGGCAGUGCAGGUGUGGAGUGAAAGUCGGGGGCUCAACCCCAGGAUUGCUCUGUAAACUGUACGGCUGGAGUGCAGGAGAGGUAAGUGGAAUUCGUAGUGUAGCGGUGAAAUGCGUAGAUAUUAGGAGGAACACCAGUGGCGAAGGCGGCUUACUGGACUGUAACUGACGUUGAGGCUCGAAAGCGUGGGGAGCAAACAGGAUUAGAUACCCCGGUAGUC
Molecule: ribosomal RNA, 440 nt
Filed under: uncultured bacterium
Lineage: Bacteria
Description: partial 16S ribosomal RNA
Rfam family: Bacterial small subunit ribosomal RNA
Source: RNAcentral